GAUGAACGCUGGCGGCGUGCCUAAUACAUGCAAGUCGAGCGAACGGACGAGAAGCUUGCUUCUCUGCUGUUAGCGGCGGACGGGUGAGUAACACGUGGAUAACCUACCUAUAAGACUGGGAUAACUUCGGGAAACCGGAGCUAAUACCGGAUAAUAUUUUGAACCGCAUGGUUCAAAAGUGAAAGACGGUCUUGCUGUCACUUAUAGAUGGAUCCGCGCUGCAUUAGCUAGUUGGUAAGGUAACGGCUUACCAAGGCAACGAUGCAUAGCCGACCUGAGAGGGUGAUCGGCCACACUGGAACUGAGACACGGUCCAGACUCCUACGGGAGGCAGCAGUAGGGAAUCUUCCGCAAUGGGCGCAAGCCUGACGGAGCAACGCCGCGUGAGUGAUGAAGGUCUUCGGAUCGUAAAGCUCUGUUAUUAGGGAAGAACAUAUGUGUAAGUAACUGUGCACAUCUUGACGGUACCUAAUCAGAAAGCCACGGCUAACUACGUG
This 497-nucleotide ribosomal RNA is filed under the name uncultured bacterium. Its description in RNAcentral is "partial 16S ribosomal RNA". It matches the Rfam family "Bacterial small subunit ribosomal RNA", at positions 28 to 507 of the family's 1533-position model. The record is from RNAcentral.